GGGGGAAUAUUGGACAAUGGGCGGAAGCCUGAUCCAGCCAUGCCGCGUGUGUGAAGAAGGCCUUUUGGUUGUAAAGCACUUUAAGCGAGGAGGAGGCUACUUGGAUUAAUACUCUAGGAUAGUGGACGUUACUCGCAGAAUAAGCACCGGCUAACUCUGUGCCAGCAGCCGCGGUAAUACAGAGGGUGCGAGCGUUAAUCGGAUUUACUGGGCGUAAAGCGUGCGUAGGCGGCUUCUUAAGUCGGAUGUGAAAUCCCUGAGCUUAACUUAGGAAUUGCAUUCGAUACUGGGAAGCUAGAGUAUGGGAGAGGAUGGUAGAAUUCCAGGUGUAGCGGUGAAAUGCGUAGAGAUCUGGAGGAAUACCGAUGGCGAAGGCAGCCAUCUGGCCUAAUACUGACGCUGAGGUACGAAAGCAUGGGGAGCAAACAGG
This 430-nucleotide ribosomal RNA is filed under the name Bacillota bacterium. RNAcentral describes it as "Firmicutes bacterium partial 16S ribosomal RNA". It matches the Rfam family "Bacterial small subunit ribosomal RNA", at positions 355 to 776 of the family's 1533-position model. The record is from RNAcentral. Lineage: Bacteria; Bacillati; Bacillota.